This is a long non-coding RNA of Myodes glareolus (Bank vole), 322 nucleotides long. RefSeq lists it as uncharacterized. Lineage: Eukaryota; Metazoa; Chordata; Mammalia; Rodentia; Cricetidae. The record is from RefSeq and is a predicted model, not a curated record.
CCUCUCGGCGAGCGCUGGACAGGGCGCGCCCCUCGGCAGGCCCGCGCGGCCGGCAAAACAAAAACAAACGUGCCGCGCCAGUCGGAGGACUGUGCUCCCCCAGAGAAUCUGCACAUAAGAAGUGGAGGUAAGGGUUUCCUGGUGCAGUGGCUUGCAACGCUGGUGGGUCCUGAGGUGGAGAACUGGACAGACGCUAGAAGACUCCAGUGGAUAGAGUCUUCAGAUUGAAAGGAAGGUCUGUGGUCCUCUGGGACUUACCAAAGAUAACUUCAAUAUAAUCAAGAUGGCCUAGCUUUAGACUGCUUUCUGUAUCACAGAUCUG